RNAcentral lists this ribosomal RNA (411 nucleotides) under Bacillota bacterium. RNAcentral's name for it is "Firmicutes bacterium partial 16S ribosomal RNA". It matches the Rfam family "Bacterial small subunit ribosomal RNA", at positions 355 to 776 of the family's 1533-position model. Lineage: Bacteria; Bacillati; Bacillota. The record is from RNAcentral.
UGGGGAAUAUUGCGCAAUGGGCGGAAGCCUGACGCAGCGACGCCGCGUGGGGGAUGACGGCCUUCGGGUUGUAAACCUCUUUCGGCCCCGACGAAGCGAACAGUGACGGUAGGGGUAGAAGAAGCACCGGCCAACUACGUGCCAGCAGCCGCGGUAACACGUAGGGUGCGAGCGUUGUCCGGAAUUAUUGGGCGUAAAGAGCUCGUAGGCGGUGUGUCGCGUCGGCCGUGAAAACCUGUGGCUUAACUGCGGGCUUGCGGUCGAUACGGGCAUCACUGGAGUUCGGCAGGGGAGACUGGAAUUCCUGGUGUAGCGGUGAAAUGCGCAGAUAUCAGGAGGAACACCGGUGGCGAAGGCGGGUCUCUGGGCCGAUACUGACGCUGAGGAGCGAAAGCGUGGGGAGCGAACAGG